CUAACAUAUCUAGACAUUUUGUUCCAAAGUUAAAACAACUAAGUUCUGGCUUAAUUUACAUGUGUCUGUAGAACCAUUUUUUUCUUGUUGUUCCUCCAAAAAUGACAAAAGAGAUUGGGGGCAAGGUGACAAGUCAGUCCUGUGGAGAGUGAGACAGCUAUCUUCUCCUGCAUGAAAAAGUUAAACACUUUGUUUUUACCAGACUUUAGCAAUAAUUUCUUCUACCUCAUUGCCUUUCAGUGCUGACAUAUCCUCAGAGCAGAUGACACACAUGAAAAUAAAUCAGCUACAUAUAUUCAGCUGGAGGAAAUAGUCUCAACGGAGAGAAAUACUGCUGAAAUCUGAGUUGAAUUCUUUAUGGAAAUAAUGAACCUGGGUAGGUUUAUGAAGCAGUUCCUUUGCUUCUUAAAGAGCUUGGCUGCUGUGUAUUGUGAAGAACACCUCUGUCAACAUUCUCUGCUGAGCACCAGUCUCCACAGAAGCUUUCUCUCUCUCACUCUGGAACAGCUAACAGCCUGAAUCUCCACGUAGUUUCCUGCUGAAGCAGGGAGAUGGAAUAAGUAAAUUCCACCUGAUAAGCAAGACUGUUGAUAGCUGGAAAUAAAAUCUGGGAGAAACUUGGCUGGAAGACAGUUGGAGGUCACAAUCAAGGCUCGGUCCUGUACAGGUGACACUGUAAAAUCAGGAUAUGACUUUAAAUGUGUGAGCUAAAUAGUCCCGCUCUUUCAGAUGUAAUCUGAGCCUAGUUUUGUAGAGAGAGAGCUCCUGCCUAGUACAAGUAGCAAAAUCCAAGCCUUGCAAAAAUGUGAGGCUAAAUUUUAACUUAUCAUAAGAAAGAGGACAUCAAGGAAAAUGAGUAUCA
Passer domesticus (house sparrow) is the source of this 862-nucleotide long non-coding RNA. RefSeq lists it as uncharacterized. Lineage: Eukaryota; Metazoa; Chordata; Aves; Passeriformes; Passeridae. The record is from RefSeq and is a predicted model, not a curated record. The transcript has 3 exons.